Molecule: long non-coding RNA, 473 nt
Organism: Homo sapiens (human)
Lineage: Eukaryota; Metazoa; Chordata; Mammalia; Primates; Hominidae
Source: Ensembl
UCCAGGUCCAGCACACAAACUCACAGUAAUGAAUUCAUGAAUAACUCAUUGAUUACAGUUCAGGAAACGGCCUCAGAGAGGUGAGGAGACGCCCACAGUCGCGUGGCAUGGUGCACCUGUGUUCUGAACUGUCACUUGCCUCUCCCUGUGAGCCUCUCUUUACUCUGCCUUGUCUUCUUGUCCUGGGGCAAGAAGUUAGGGUUCAAGACCCUUCGGGAUGUGAGGAUGUUUCUGCCACUCUGGACAUUAGUUUUCUCCCCUAAGUGGCUCUAUCUCUCCCGGCCUGAGUUUGGAAGGGAGACACCAUUCUGGUACGACUUUUCUUAGGCCUGUGCUGCCAUCUAUGGGGCUCGAAGGUGCUCGCCAUGCUCCAGACCGGCCACCUGGCAGUCAGGUGAGCUUGCAAGUGUGAAGAGCAGCGGGAUGCGGGGGAGGGAGCAAGCCCAGUAACAAAUAAAGCAAAUAUCAUCGGC